GAUGAACGCUGGCGGCGUGCCUAAUACAUGCAAGUCGAGCGAACAGACGAGGAGCUUGCUCCUCUGACGUUAGCGGCGGACGGGUGAGUAACACGUGGAUAACCUACCUAUAAGACUGGGAUAACUUCGGGAAACCGGAGCUAAUACCGGAUAAUAUAUUUAACCGCAUGGUUCAAUAGUGAAAGACGGUUUUGCUGUCACUUAUAGAUGGAUCCGCGCUGCAUUAGCUAGUUGGUAAGGUAACGGCUUACCAAGGCAACGAUGCGUAGCCGACCUGAGAGGGUGAUCGGCAACAAUGGAACUGAGAAACGGGCCAGACUCCUACGGGAGGCAGCAGUAGGGAAUCUUCCGCAAUGGGCGAAAGCGUGACGGAGCAACGCCGCGUGAGUGAUGAAGGUCUUCGGAUCGUAAAACUCUGUUAUUAGGGAAGAACAAAUGUGUAAGUAACUAUGCACGUCUUGACGGUACCUAAUCAGAAAGCCACGGCUAACUACGUG
This 497-nucleotide ribosomal RNA is filed under the name uncultured bacterium. RNAcentral's name for it is "partial 16S ribosomal RNA". It matches the Rfam family "Bacterial small subunit ribosomal RNA", at positions 28 to 507 of the family's 1533-position model. The record is from RNAcentral.